RNAcentral lists this ribosomal RNA (252 nucleotides) under uncultured bacterium. Its description in RNAcentral is "partial 16S ribosomal RNA". It matches the Rfam family "Bacterial small subunit ribosomal RNA", at positions 528 to 779 of the family's 1533-position model. The record is from RNAcentral.
CGUAGGGCGAGCGUUGUCCGGAAUCAUUGGGCGUAAAGAGCGUGUAGGCGGCCCGGUAAGUCCGCUGUGAAACCCGGGGCGUCAACCCCGGGCGUGCAGUGGAAACUGCCGGGCUAGAGGGCGGCAGAGGCGAGUGGAAUUCCCGGUGUAGCGGUGAAAUGCGCAGAUAUCGGGAGGAACACCGGUAGCGAAGGCGGCUCGCUGGGCCGUUCCUGACGCUGAGACGCGAAAGCUAGGGGAGCGAACAGGAUU